GUCGAGGGGCAGCAGGGGUAGCAAUACUCGCUGGCGACCGGCGCACGGGUGCGUAACACGUAUGUAACCUUUCCUUAACUGGGGAAUAGCUUUGAGAAAUCAGAAUUAAUACCCCAUAACACUGCGAAGUGGCAUCACUUUGCAAUUAAAGCUCCGGCGGUUAAGGGCGGGCAUGCGUCCCAUUAGCUAGUUGGCGAGGUAACGGCUCACCAAGGCUACGAUGGGUAGGGGUUCUAAGAGGAUUUACCCCCACACUGGCACUGAGAUACGGGCCAGACUCCUACGGGAGGCAGCAGUAAGGAAUAUUGGUCAAUGGGCGCAAGCCUGAACCAGCCAUGCCGCGUGCAGGAUGAAGGUCCUACGGAUUGUAAACUGCUUUUGUACGGGAAAAAACCCCUUGUUUCUACAAGGGUUGAUGGUACUGUAAGAAUAAGGAUCGGCUAACUCCGUGCCAGCAGCCGCGGUAAUACGGAGGAUCCAAGCGUUAUCCGGAUUCACUGGGUUUAAAGGGUGCGUAGGCGGAAUGACAAGUCAGUGGUGAAAACCUAUAGCUUAACUAUAGAACGGCCAUUGAUACUGUUAUUCUUGAGUGUAUUGGAUGUGAAUGGAAUGUGUCGUGUAGCGGUGAAAUGCUUAGAUAUGACACAGAACACCCAUUGCGAAGGCAGUUCACAACACUACAACUGACGCUGAGGCACGAAAGCGUGGGGAUCAAACAGGAUUAGAUACCCUGGUAGUCCACGCCGUA
RNAcentral lists this ribosomal RNA (748 nucleotides) under uncultured Bacteroidota bacterium. Its description in RNAcentral is "bacterial SSU rRNA". It matches the Rfam family "Bacterial small subunit ribosomal RNA", at positions 61 to 804 of the family's 1533-position model. The record is from RNAcentral. Lineage: Bacteria; Pseudomonadati; Bacteroidota.